Molecule: long non-coding RNA, 664 nt
Filed under: Parus major (Great Tit)
Lineage: Eukaryota; Metazoa; Chordata; Aves; Passeriformes; Paridae
Description: lncRNA (ENSPMJG00000001050.1)
Source: RNAcentral
CGGGAAUAUUGAUUUGACAGUGUGUAUGCUCUGUAAGAAAAAAAAANGGUGGGUUUGGUGGCACAGUAGAUCUUACAAAGGCUUCUUAGAUACUCAGAUUUGGUGGUUAAAGCUCCAUAUAGAUUCUUCAAGUUCUGGAAACCCACAGACUGGAGCACAGGCUUACUCAUCUGGGGUGUGUAGGAUACCUGUGCCAUCAGAAAUGCUGGAGUUGUUCAGAAGAAGAACUUCUGAUCUUCUUCCCCAAAGGCUGAAUGUUUCUGGCAAGAACUCUAAUAUUUCUGCCUGGAUUUCUGUUAGUUUCCACACAAUGCUUUGUAUUUCUAAAAGUCUUUCUAUAGUUAAUCCUGGAGAAAUGAAGACAAGAUUCUUAACCUUCUUCAGUGAGGCAAACUCUGAGUUACUAUCUACAGACCUAUAAAUUGAGAGAGAGUCACACACCUGGUGGGUCCCCAGGGCCAGAAACAGAAACCAGGAAUUACACUCUGCUAUCCUGUCCUCAUCACCAGGGAGUACAGCCUCAGGUGUAAACCACUCUUGAAUAUCUGUUGCAAAAGUUUUCACUGAUGGACUCCCCACACAGUUAACUGCUUCACUCCUUCUUUCAGUGAGCAGCUACCUAUUUAACAUAUUGGGGUGAAAUAAAUAAGUGUGGAAGAAAACA